Molecule: ribosomal RNA, 497 nt
Filed under: uncultured bacterium
Lineage: Bacteria
Description: partial 16S ribosomal RNA
Rfam family: Bacterial small subunit ribosomal RNA
Source: RNAcentral
GAUGAACGCUGGCGGCGUGCCUAAUACAUGCAAGUCGAGCGAACAGACGAGGAGCUUGCUCCUUUGGCGUUAGCGGCGGACGGGUGAGUAACACGUGGGUAACCUACCUAUAAGACUGGGAUAACUUCGGGAAACCGGAGCUAAUACCGGAUAAUAUUUCGAACCGCAUGGUUCGAUAGUGAAAGAUGGCUUUGCUAUCACUUAUAGAUGGACCUGCGCCGUAUUAGCUAGUUGGUAAGGUAACGGCUUACCGAGGCAACGAUACGUAGCCGACCUGAGAGGGUGAUCGGCCACACUGGAACUGAGACACGGUCCAGACUCCUACGGGAGGCAGCAGUAGGGAAUCUUCCGCAAUGGGCGAAAGCCUGACGGAGCAACGCCGCGUGAGUGAUGAAGGUCUUCGGAUCGUAAAACUCUGUUAUUAGGGAAGAACAAACGUGUAAGUAACUGUGCACGUCUUGACGGUACCUAAUCAGAAAGCCACGGCUAACUACGUG